GAUGAACGCUGGCGGCGUGCUUAACACAUGCAAGUCGAACGGUGAACACGGAGCUUGCUCUGUGGGAUCAGUGGCGAACGGGUGAGUAACACGUGAGCAACCUGCCCCUGACUCUGGGAUAAGCGCUGGAAACGGCGUCUAAUACUGGAUAUGUGACGUGACCGCAUGGUCUGCGUUUGGAAAGAUUUUUCGGUUGGGGAUGGGCUCGCGGCCUAUCAGCUUGUUGGUGAGGUAAUGGCUCACCAAGGCGUCGACGGGUAGCCGGCCUGGGAGGGUGACCGGCCACACUGGGACUCAGACACGGCCCAGACUCCUACGGGAGGCAGCAGUGGGGAAUAUUGCACAAUGGGCGCAAGCCUGAUGCAGCAACGCCGCGUGAGGGAUGACGGCCUUCGGGUUGUAAACCUCUUUUAGCAGGGAAGAAGCGAAAGUGACGGUACCUGCAGAAAAAGCGCCGGCUAACUACGUG
This 469-nucleotide ribosomal RNA is filed under the name uncultured bacterium. RNAcentral describes it as "partial 16S ribosomal RNA". It matches the Rfam family "Bacterial small subunit ribosomal RNA", at positions 28 to 507 of the family's 1533-position model. The record is from RNAcentral.